Cotesia glomerata is the source of this 191-nucleotide long non-coding RNA. RefSeq lists it as uncharacterized. The record is from RefSeq and is a predicted model, not a curated record. The transcript is spliced from 3 exons. NCBI's taxonomy places the organism in Eukaryota, Metazoa, Arthropoda, Insecta, Hymenoptera, Braconidae.
UUUGCUUAAAACUACAAUUUUGACCGUUUUGUUAUAAAUAAAUAGACUCGCAACGCACUUUUUUGUUGGAUUUUUUCGGAUGUCGUAGUUUUAGCAUAUUUUGGAUCAUUCUGUGAAAGAAAUUUCUUCUUAGCGAUUUUUACCAAGUAAAAUCUUUAUUUCGACUGGACUAUUAAUAAAUGUAGUAAGGC